This 30-nucleotide small nuclear RNA is filed under the name Arabidopsis thaliana (thale cress). RNAcentral's name for it is "snRNA_08387". The record is from RNAcentral. Lineage: Eukaryota; Viridiplantae; Streptophyta; Magnoliopsida; Brassicales; Brassicaceae.
UUAACGGGCAUUUUCGGGGACUAGCCCGCU